GCAAGUCGAACGGUARCAGGCCUUCGGGCGCUGACGAGUGGCGGACGGGUGAGUAACGCGUAGGAAUCUGCCUGRUAGUGGGGGACAACKURGGGAAACUYAMGCUAAUACCGCAUACGCUCCUUAUUGCAAGAUGGGGAGGAAAGCGGGGGCUCCUGUUCUUCGGAAUGGGACCUCGCGCUAUCAGAUGAGCCUGCGUUAGAUUAGCURGUUGGUGGGGUAAAGGCCUACCAAGGCGACGAUCUAUAGCUGGUCUGAGAGGACGAUCAGCCACACUGGGACUGAGACACGGCCCAGACUCCUACGGGAGGCAGCAGUGGGGAAUAUUGGACAAUGGGCGCAAGCCUGAUCCAGCAAUACCGCGUGUGUGAAGAAGGCCCUAGGGUUGUAAAGCACUUUCAAYGGGGAGGAAAACCUGCCGGYCAAUACCCGGCAGCUUGACAUUACCUGUAGAAGAAGCACCGGCUAACUCCGUGCCAGCAGCCGCGGUAAUACGGAGGGUGCGAGCGUUAAUCGGAAUUACUGGGCGUAAAGCGUGCGUAGGCGGUUSAUUAAGUCAGAUGUGAAAGCCCCGGGCUUAACCUGGGAACKGCAUUUGAUACUGGUUAACUMGAGUUUAGUAGAGGGGAGUGGAAUUUCAGGUGUAGCGGUGAAAUGCGUAGAUAUCUGAAGGAACACCAGUGGCGAAGGCGACUCCCUGGACUAAAACUGACGCUGAGGUACGAAAGCGUGGGUAGCAACAGGAUUAGAUACCCUGGUAGUCACGCCGUAA
This 772-nucleotide ribosomal RNA is filed under the name uncultured bacterium. RNAcentral's name for it is "bacterial SSU rRNA". It matches the Rfam family "Bacterial small subunit ribosomal RNA", at positions 57 to 805 of the family's 1533-position model. The record is from RNAcentral.